RNAcentral lists this long non-coding RNA (1578 nucleotides) under Mus musculus (house mouse). RNAcentral's name for it is "predicted gene, 33432". Lineage: Eukaryota; Metazoa; Chordata; Mammalia; Rodentia; Muridae. The record is from RNAcentral.
ACCCGCCUGCCUACCUACCUGCCUGCCUACAUCACUGACAGCCAGCAACAGGCUUUUCGAACAGAAGCAGAGGCUCAGAGCAAAGAACAUCUCAACCCUUGAAGGGAAUGAAUGGAUCAGCAAAUCGGAACAGAACCAACUAUGGUACUGACAGACUGACAGACAGAGGCGGCUGGGGAAGAGCCUUGCACAAGCCGGAUAGUGUGAUAGGAACCCCAGAGUCCCAUACAUCUGUGAAAGGCAGCGUUUGACCUUAUGUUAGUACAAAACACCCUGAUUCAGAUGCUCAGUUUCCAACCACGAAGGGAAAUUCUGAUGACACCGUAGGGACGGCUCCCUAAGGUGGGUCGCAGUGCAUGGGGCUGCAGAGGCUGAGGCUGGGGAGCCAAGAUCCGGAUGGGGAAGAGGUUCCGCAGGACAUCUGGGAUGGCUGCCAGCAGAAGGGCCGAGGGUGCACUUCUGUGGGUGUGCAUGGAUUCCAGAAGAGGUCAUCAGAUCUCCUGGCAGUUGUAAGCCACCCACAGUGCUGAGACUCCCGACUCCAGCUUAGAACCCAGCCACAGCCCCUUGUCUGUUGCUUUGAGCCACCGAGAUGGCUCAGCAGUUAAUCUCUGGGUAUGUCUAAAAGGGAGAUUCCAGAGGUUUAUCUGAAAUGGGAGGACCCACCUGAAUGUGUCCUACACCAUGCCUUGAAUAAGACAGAGACAGUGAUCUGAGCACCAGCAUCCAUCUCUCCUCCUAAGCACCAGCAUCCAUCUCUUUCUCCUUCCUGACACUGGCUGAAAUGUGACCUCUGGCUUCAUGCAACUGCCGUCAUGCCUUCCCUGCUACGGUGGACUGUAAACACAAACUGUGAGACAAAACAGGCCCUUCCUUUUCUUCCCUUUUCUCUUUUUAAGCAAGAUUUAUUUAUUCUCAUUUUAUAUGUAUUGAUAUUUUGCCUUGCAUAUAUGCCUAAGCACCAGGAAGAUGCAGUACUGGAAGGGGCCAGUAGAUGGCAUCGGCUCCCCUGGAGCUAGAGUUAACAAAUGGUUUUGAGCCACCUUGUGGUUGCUGGGAAUGGAACCCAGCUCCUCUGGAAGAACAAGAGCUCAUAACUGUGGCGCCAUCUCCCCAGCCCCAAACCCUUCCUUAAUCAAAAUGCCUUGGCCGGGUACUUUGUCACAGCAACAAGAAAGGUAACUCAAAGGCUGGUGAGAUGGCUCAACGGGUAAGAGCACUGACUGCUCUUCCGAAGGUCUUGAGUUCAAAUCCUAGCGACCACAUAGUGGCUCACAACCACCUGUAAUGAGAUCUGAUGCCCUCUUCUGAUGUGUCUGAAAUCAGCUACGGUGUACUUAUGUAUAAUAAUAAAUAAAUUUUUGGGCCUGAGAGAUGACCGGAGCGAGAGGGGCCAACUGGAGUGAGAAGGGCCAACCAGAAUUAGCAGAGGUCCUAAAAAUUCAAUUCCCAACAACCUCAUGAAGGCUCACAACCAUCUGUACAGCUACAGUGUACUCACAUACAUAAAAUAAAUAAAUCUUAAAAAAAAAAGAAGGAAGGAAGGAAGAAAAGUAACUCAAAUAAACUAAACAUAAC